GGUAUCAGAAGUGCGAAUGCUGACAUAAGUAACGAUAAAGCGGGUGAAAAGCCCGCUCGCCGGAAGACCAAGGGUUCCUGUCCAACGUUAAUCGGGGCAGGGUGAGUCGACCCCUAAGGCGAGGCCGAAAGGCGUAGUCGAUGGGAAACAGGUUAAUAUUCCUGUACUUGGUGUUACUGCGAAGGGGGGACGGAGAAGGCUAUGUUGGCCGGGCGACGGUUGUCCCGGUUUAAGCGUGUAGGCUGGUUUUCCAGGCAAAUCCGGAAAAUCAAGGCUGAGGCGUGAUGACGAGGCACUACGGUGCUGAAGCAACAAAUGCCCUGCUUCCAGGAAAAGCCUCUAAGCAUCAGGUAACAUCAAAUCGUACCCCAAACCGACACAGGUGGUCAGGUAGAGAAUACCAAGGCGCUUGAGAGAACUCGGGUGAAGGAACUAGGCAAAAUGGUGCCGUAACUUCGGGAGAAGG
This 466-nucleotide ribosomal RNA is filed under the name Escherichia coli. RNAcentral describes it as "partial 23S ribosomal RNA". It matches the Rfam family "Bacterial large subunit ribosomal RNA", at positions 1278 to 1746 of the family's 2925-position model. Lineage: Bacteria; Pseudomonadati; Pseudomonadota; Gammaproteobacteria; Enterobacterales; Enterobacteriaceae. The record is from RNAcentral.